AUGAACGCUGGCGGCGUGCCUCAUACAUGCAAGUCGAGCGAACAGACGAGAAGCUUGCUUCUCUGAUGUUAGCGGCGGACGGGUGAGUAACACGUGGAUAACCUACCUAUAAGACUGGGAUAACUUCGGGAAACCGGAGCUAAUACCGGAUAAUAUUUUGAACCGCAUGGUUCAAAAGUGAAAGACGGUCUUGCUGUCACUUAUAGAUGGAUCCGCGCUGCAUUAGCUAGUUGGUAAGGUAACGGCUUACCAAGGCAACGAUGCAUAGCCGACCUGAGAGGGUGAUCGGCCACACUGGAACUGAGACACGGUCCAGACUCCUACGGGAGGCAGCAGUAGGGAAUCUUCCGCAAUGGGCGAAAGCCUGACGGAGCAACGCCGCGUGAGUGAUGAAGGUCUUCGGAUCGUAAAACUCUGUUAUUAGGGAAGAACAUAUGUGUAAGUAACUGUGCACAUCUUGACGGUACCUAAUCAGAAAGCCACGGCUAACUACGUG
Molecule: ribosomal RNA, 496 nt
Filed under: uncultured bacterium
Lineage: Bacteria
Description: partial 16S ribosomal RNA
Rfam family: Bacterial small subunit ribosomal RNA
Source: RNAcentral